Long non-coding RNA from Phascolarctos cinereus (koala), 1299 nucleotides. The record is from Ensembl. Lineage: Eukaryota; Metazoa; Chordata; Mammalia; Diprotodontia; Phascolarctidae.
GUGAUUCUGUUAUUUUUAUGACUAGGUGUCAGCUGCAGAGGGGGUCUCAGCUUCCCAGAUGGGCUAUGAACCUGAUCAGUCAACAGAAAGGGAUGGAAAACACACCCAUGGAAGAACUUUGGAUCGCAGGGCAUUGGACGGGGACUUUCCCCAGACUUCCCUUCUUUGUAGCAUGGUUUCUGGACUGAGUGACUAAACCAUUCUGGGAAGAGAGAUAAGAAAAAGAACUCACUUGGAGGUCUUUCUCCAGGAAGACAGGAGAAUGUUAUUAAAUCAUGUGGAUCGUCUUCUGUCCUUCCCCUCUUCAAGAAUCCAGCUGCAUCUCCAGCCUUCUUCACUUGUAUUGCAAGCUCCCAAUUUCUGAAGCAAUAAAGUCUGAAUACACCAAUUGGCAAUUGGACCUCUUUUUCCCCUGGAGUCCCUUCCAGGGAAAUUUUCUGUGAAUGACUUUAGCAGAACUACUCAAGGAGCUGUGAAACACACAUCGAUGAGAUCACAAGGAGACUAUUUAAUAGGAUUUCUCUUUUUUCGAGUUUCCCCGAGGACUGCCACGCUAAUAAUUCACCCAGGCAGCUGCCCAUUUAUUUCCUCCCAAUACUCAAAGCUCUGGGUCAUGACCAAGUUCAAAAGUGCCUGAACUUCAGUACCCAACAUCAGGCCCAAUGAUUCAACUUCACCUCUCUGUCUCCUGGCACUGCUGGCUAAGGAAGGGACCACCUUCCAGUAUAUUUGCCAAGUUGGACAAUGGGCUGGUGAGGAAGGAAAAGGAGAGGCCAGUAUGAGAAGAAGACUGAAUACAUAGCUAUAACCAAAAUGCCUUUCUCUUUUAUUUUUACCACAUGAAAAAAAAUGGCAUGAGGGAUAAAAGUCAAGUUUGCUGGUCAGUAGUUCAGAGACUUUUGAAAAAUUCCCAUAUUGCCAGAAACAAUAUAUGCAGCAGCUACAACAAUGAGAAUGGAAAGACCAUCACUGACACUAUGAAUAACAAAGUGGAAACUGGUGAAGUGAGAUUGCAAUGGCCAAGUUGGGUCACAAAAAAGAAUAUGUGAAUGAACCUCCCUCCUUGUUUGUUGGCUGAUGGGGGGUACUAUCCAUGGGAAAUAUUGCAAAUAAUGUCAGUUGUGAUGGAUGUGCUGAUUAAUUUUACUCAAUUUAUUUUUUAGUGUGUGUUCCCUUUUUUUGUUGUUCUUCUGUAUUACAGAUGACUUUCCAGGAGGGAGGGAGAGGGAGGACUAGAUAAGUGAAUGUGAUGUAAAGUUGAAUAAUAAAAUAAAAAUAUAAUUAGAAAGAAAAGUCUAA